GUUAUAGGGUCAAGCAAUGAAGCGCACACGGUGGAUGCCUAGGCAGCCAGAGGCGACGAAAGACGUGGUAGCCUGCGAUAAGGUUCGGUGAGGUGGCAACAACCUGUGACCCGGACAUCUCUGAAUGGGGAAACCCACUCAUCAUAAGAUGAGUAUCAUGCACUGAAUA
This 169-nucleotide ribosomal RNA is filed under the name Halomonas sp. ALS9. RNAcentral describes it as "partial 23S ribosomal RNA". It matches the Rfam family "Bacterial large subunit ribosomal RNA", at positions 1 to 164 of the family's 2925-position model. Lineage: Bacteria; Pseudomonadati; Pseudomonadota; Gammaproteobacteria; Oceanospirillales; Halomonadaceae. The record is from RNAcentral.